Molecule: ribosomal RNA, 1347 nt
Filed under: uncultured bacterium
Lineage: Bacteria
Description: partial 16S ribosomal RNA
Rfam family: Bacterial small subunit ribosomal RNA
Source: RNAcentral
GACGAACGCUAGCGGCGUGCUUAACACAUGCAAGUCGAACGGAAAGGCCCUGCUUUUGUGGGGUGCUCGAGUGGCGAACGGGUGAGUAACACGUGAGUAACCUGCCCUUGACUUUGGGAUAACUUCAGGAAACUGGGGCUAAUACCGGAUAGGAGCUCCUGCUGCAUGGUGGGGGUUGGAAAGUUUCGGCGGUUGGGGAUGGACUCGCGGCUUAUCAGCUUGUUGGUGGGGUAGUGGCUUACCAAGGCUUUGACGGGUAGCCGGCCUGAGAGGGUGACCGGCCACAUUGGGACUGAGAUACGGCCCAGACUCCUACGGGAGGCAGCAGUGGGGAAUAUUGCACAAUGGGCGGAAGCCUGAUGCAGCAACGCCGCGUGCGGGAUGACGGCCUUCGGGUUGUAAACCGCUUUCGCCCGUGACGAAGCGUGAGUGACGGUAAUGGGUAAAGAAGCACCGGCUAACUACGUGCCAGCAGCCGCGGUGAUACGUAGGGUGCGAGCGUUGUCCGGAUUUAUUGGGCGUAAAGGGCUCGUAGGUGGUUGAUCGCGUCGGAAGUGUAAUCUUGGGGCUUAACCCUGGGCGUGCUUUCGAUACGGGUUGACUUGAGGAAGGUUAGGGGAGAAUGGAAUUCCUGGUGGAGCGGUGGAAUGCGCAGAUAUCAGGAGGAACACCAGUGGCGAAGGCGGUUCUCUGGGCCUUUCCUGACGCUGAGGAGCGAAAGCGUGGGGAGCGAACAGGCUUAGAUACCCUGGUAGUCCACGCUGUAAACGGUGGGUACUAGGUGUGGGGUCCAUUCCACGGGUUCCGUGCCGUAGCUAACGCUUUAAGUACCCCGCCUGGGGAGUACGGCCGCAAGGCUAAAACUCAAAGGAAUUGACGGGGCCCCGCACAAGCGGCGGAGCAUGCGGAUUAAUUCGAUGCAACGCGUAGAACCUUACCUGGGUUUGACAUGGAUCGGGAGUGCUCAGAGAUGGGUGUGCCUCUUUUGGGGUCGGUUCACAGGUGGUGCAUGGCUGUCGUCAGCUCGUGUCGUGAGAUGUUGGGUUAAGUCCCGCAACGAGCGCAACCCUUGUUCACUGUUGCCAGCACGUUAUGGUGGGGACUCAGUGGAGACCGCCGGGGUCAACUCGGAGGAAGGUGGGGAUGACGUCAAGUCAUCAUGCCCCUUAUGUCCAGGGCUUCACGCAUGCUACAAUGGCUGGUACAGAGAGUGGCGAGCCUGUGAGGGUGAGCGAAUCUCGGAAAGCCGGUCUCAGUUCGGAUUGGGGUCUGCAACUCGACCUCAUGAAGUCGGAGUCGCUAGUAAUCGCAGAUCAGCAACGCUGCGGUGAAUACGUUCCCGGGGCU